RNAcentral lists this ribosomal RNA (406 nucleotides) under uncultured bacterium. Its description in RNAcentral is "bacterial SSU rRNA". It matches the Rfam family "Bacterial small subunit ribosomal RNA", at positions 355 to 775 of the family's 1533-position model. The record is from RNAcentral.
UGGGGAAUAUUGGGCAAUGGGCGCAAGCCUGACCCAGCAACGCCGCGUGAGGGAAGAAGGUCUUCGGAUUGUAAACCUCUGUCCCCCGGGACGAAAAAAAUGACGGUACCGGGGGAGGAAGCUCCGGCUAACUACGUGCCAGCAGCCGCGGUAAUAAGUAGGGAGCGAGCGUUGUCCGGAAUUACUGGGCGUAAAGGGUGCGCAGGCGGCAUGGCAAGUCAGAUGUGAAAUCCCCGUGCUUAACUCGGGGGGUGCAUUUGAAACUGCUGUGCUUGAGUGCAGGAGAGGAAAGCGGAAUUCCUAGUGUAGCGGUGCAAUGCGUAGAUAUUAGGAGGAACACCAGUGGCGAAGGCGGCUUUCUGGACUGCAACUGACGCUGAGGCACGAAAGCGUUGGGAGCAAACAG